This 443-nucleotide ribosomal RNA is filed under the name uncultured bacterium. RNAcentral's name for it is "bacterial SSU rRNA". It matches the Rfam family "Bacterial small subunit ribosomal RNA", at positions 958 to 1398 of the family's 1533-position model. The record is from RNAcentral.
AACGCGAAGAACCUUACCUGGGUUUGAAAUUCAGUUGAAGUGUACAGAGAUGUGCAUGUCCCGCAAGGGACAAUUGGACAGGUGCUGCAUGGCUGUCGUCAGCUCGUGCCGUGAGGUGUUGGGUUAAGUCCCGCAACGAGCGCAACCCUUAUUCUUAGUUGCCAUCAGGUAAAGCUGGGCACUCUGGGGAGACUGCCGGCAUAAGUCGGAGGAAGGUGGGGAUGACGUCAAGUCAGCAUGGCCCUUACAUCCAGGGCUACACACGUGCUACAAUGGCCGAUACAAAGGGCUGCUAAGCCGCGAGGUGGAGCGAAUCCCAUAAAGUCGGUCUCAGUUCGGAUUGUAGGCUGCAACUCGCCUGCAUGAAGUCGGAAUCACUAGUAACCGCAGAUCAGCCACGCUGUGGUGAAUACGUUCCCGGGCCUUGUACACACCGAGACGUA